UUGAAAGGGAAACGAUUGAAGUCAGUCGUACUGACGGGAAAUCAACUUCUCGAGUGCUUGUCGUGAAUGACGUUGAGCUUCACGGCCUUCGUUGCUUGCGUUAUGGUGCUUUUGAGGUGUACUUUUCCGUAUGGUAAGUCAAUAUCGAUUUUGAUCGUCAUAAAAUGAUCGGAGGAAUGUGGCUCUGAUCUUGUAUCGGAGUGUUAUAGCCUUUGAUAGAUGUGACGAUUGGGAUCGAGGAUUGCAACGAAUACCCUUUUGGGCUAUCCGUCUGACCUCUGAAAGUCGCUCGGGUGUCGAAAGCGUGCUUAUGACAUUUUAGUUGGCGGUCAAAAGGUUAGAACGUGAUUACAUUCGUUAAGGAUGUUGACGUA
Molecule: ribosomal RNA, 374 nt
Filed under: uncultured Glomeromycotina
Lineage: Eukaryota; Fungi; Glomeromycota
Description: LSU rRNA
Source: RNAcentral